This is a long non-coding RNA of Cebus imitator (Panamanian white-faced capuchin), 1483 nucleotides long. RefSeq lists it as uncharacterized. NCBI's taxonomy places the organism in Eukaryota, Metazoa, Chordata, Mammalia, Primates, Cebidae. The transcript has 3 exons. The record is from RefSeq and is a predicted model, not a curated record.
UUUGCUCUGUGCUGCAGCGCAAGUUCAUCCUCCCCCGAUGGCGCACUUCACUGUCACGGGCAGGACCCUCACUGUCAGUCCGAGGACAUCAAGCCCUAGCACAGGAAGGGACAUUUUCACACUAAUCUGUGCCAGCUGGAGCAGUCCUGCCAUCUGAUUAUCAUAUUUUGGAACACUGGGAAGCUAGGAUGCAGUUAACAGGAGACAGAACAUUCUGAACACUUCAAGACAUGCUUAGAAGGCCCCUCGAUGUCAGUGGAAAAGGGGCUGCAGAUGUUAUCUGAGAAACCAAGUUAUCUCUAUACAACAAAAUCAUGUAUCAAAACGCAAUGGAGAGAGAGCCUGCAGAAGUGAGAGGUUCCCGGAGCACUACAGGAAAUGGGACCUUGAAAUACAGAAGACAAAGUACAGGCUCAUGAAUGUCUGGACAACAUACCAGCAAGUUGAGCCUGACCAACUGCACUGACAUCCUGAUGAGUCGGCUUGACUCAAGAAGACGGGUUCCAAGUAAUUCAGGGUCACGCAGCAGAGAGAGAUGGGGAUUAGUCAAGGGUGUUCACUUGCUCACUCACCAACUAUCCCGAUUGAAUUCCCACACUACGCUAGGCACUUUUUAGGGAGCUGUGUACAUUUUUCUGUGGAGGCACAGGGUUAGGACAUUAUCUCUUCCAAGGAUACAAAUUUCUCUGCGCAUUUAUUCCUUGUCUACCAAAAACCUUCUAUUUCCUCUUUUAACCUCCAUGGUUACCUGCAAAUAGGAAGGCAGGAAGUCUAACAUGAUGAAUGGAGCCACCAGAUAUGUGCAUUCCUUACUGUAAAAGAUCACACAGGAAUUCUAGUUUAUAGAUUCCCCAAUGUGACCAUUCAGACUUUGGGAGCCUGAUUCAAUUUGAAAGAGUAGAUAAAAUAUAGUAUCUAGAAGUGCCAAGUUGAGGAUGAGACCCAAGACCAGGGUGUGGCCACUACCCUGUGAAUACUGGGAGGUCCCCCAGCCUCCCCUCACAUUUCUCUUAAACUUUUCAAAGUCACCUCCUGGGACCCCAGGGGUGUGAAUUCCAAGGGCUCUAACAGCUCUGAGAUUAUAGGCUGAACUUAGGCAUCAGAAUUGCUAGAGAGCGUUAUCUCAGUUCUGAGAAAUGGUUAAAACUACCCUUGGCAGUCAUAUGUGGAACCACUUAUUUCAUUACGAUGGAUAUUUUCUUGUAGGAACAAUGCAUAGUGAAAACCCAAUGGGAUAACCAACAUAAAACUGAUUUUGUUUUCUAUUUGAUAUAACAAUUGCAUUUCACUUGUUUGUUGUAUGUACUGGUGAACUUUCUUACUUUUUAAAAACAGACACCUGGAAAAUUUUAUACAUUUUUCCUAUAAUGUCCUUUAAAGCAUGAAACGUGUUUAUUAUGACAGUGUAUACAACUGGUGUUCAUGGCCAAUAACAAUUUUUUUCUCUAGGUUGAUGGUCCUUAAUAAAAGCAUUUUCUCACCU